GGGCCCGUAGUUCAUCUGGUAGAACACCGCGUUCGCAAUGCGGAGGUGAGCGGUUCGAGUCCGCUCGGGUCCACCA
This 76-nucleotide transfer RNA is filed under the name Candidatus Curtissbacteria bacterium RIFCSPLOWO2_02_FULL_40_11. RNAcentral describes it as "tRNA-Ala". It matches the Rfam family "tRNA". From Rfam's summary of the family: Transfer RNA (tRNA) molecules are approximately 80 nucleotides in length. Lineage: Bacteria; Candidatus Curtissiibacteriota. The record is from RNAcentral.